UACAGAGGUGGCAAGCGUUGUUCGGAAUUACUGGGCGUAAAGGGCGCGUAGGCGGUCAGGUCAGUCCCGUGUGAAAUCCCUCGGCUCAACUGAGGAACUGCACGGGAAACUACCUGGCUUGAGUUCGGGAGGGGGAAGCGGAAUUCCGGGUGUAGCGGUGAAAUGCGUAGAUAUCCGGAGGAACACCGGUGGCGAAGGCGGCAUCCUGGACCAACACUGACACUGAGGAGCGAAAGCCAGGGGAGCAAACGGG
This 253-nucleotide ribosomal RNA is filed under the name uncultured bacterium. RNAcentral's name for it is "partial 16S ribosomal RNA". It matches the Rfam family "Bacterial small subunit ribosomal RNA", at positions 524 to 776 of the family's 1533-position model. The record is from RNAcentral.